UACGAAGGGUGCAAGCGUUACUCGGAAUUACUGGGCGUAAAGCGUGCGUAGGCGGUUAGUUAAGUCUGUCGUGAAAGCCCCGGGCUCAACCUGGGAAUGGCGAUGGAUACUGGCUCGCUAGAGUGCGGUAGAGGAGAGUGGAAUUCCCGGUGUAGCAGUGAAAUGCGUAGAGAUCGGGAGGAACAUCAAUUGCGAAGGCAGCUCUCUGGGCCAGCACUGACGCUGAGGCACGAAAGCGUGGGGAGCAAACAGG
RNAcentral lists this ribosomal RNA (253 nucleotides) under uncultured bacterium. Its description in RNAcentral is "partial 16S ribosomal RNA". It matches the Rfam family "Bacterial small subunit ribosomal RNA", at positions 524 to 776 of the family's 1533-position model. The record is from RNAcentral.